RNAcentral lists this long non-coding RNA (1813 nucleotides) under Salvia miltiorrhiza (redroot sage). RNAcentral's name for it is "long non-coding RNA (SMIL_LNC011848)". The record is from RNAcentral. Lineage: Eukaryota; Viridiplantae; Streptophyta; Magnoliopsida; Lamiales; Lamiaceae.
GAGGAAUUAUUCCGACUGCAACGCAGAUUAAAUCUACGGAUUUAAUUUAAGUUAUAUUACAGUUUAUCAAGUUAGCAGGCAAGGAAAAAGAUAUCAAGCUAGAUGAUUUUUUUUUAGUAACUUCAAUACUUUACAAUCAUCAUUAUUUUCCACUCCCUAAUGUCUCCUACACUAUCAGCCACCAACCUCACCACUACACCUACUCUUCCACUUCACUUUGCCACCAUUACAACGCCAAUAAUUUGGCAUUUGCAUAAAGAAGAAAAGAGAAAGAAUAGAAUAAGCUAAUAGAAAGAAAAAGUGGCUGUCCACCAAAAUUUUGCUCCCCACCUCUCCACUCCACCAACUUCUCCACCACACUCAAGUAUAGCCACUAAUUCACCUCCAUUCUACACUAACUCCACGAGAAGAGCAGGAGAACUUCACUCAUCUUCUGCAAGCAUCCAAGAAAAUCCUCAUCUGUCCAUCGUUGCAUCAAAGGCAAGAAAGCAAACUUGAAAAUCAACCAAAGAGAAAAACCCAGCAAGUGUAGAUCUUUCUAAAGUUUCAAGCAUUUGUUACUCCAGCUAACAAUGGAAGAAGUAAAAUAAACCAUCAGUUCAUUUCCCUGCCAAAACUUCAAGAGGUAAAUUUGGCUUUAAUUCAUCCACUUAAAUUCUUAUACUCCUGCAAGUAUUGAGAAAAGCCAACAACCUUCUAUUUCAGUUAUCAUCAAUUCAACCACAGCAACAUCCCACCGAAACAAACAUUCAAGGUGAUCAAUCUAUCUCUGUUAACUCCCUCAUGUCGCACAAGUCACAACAUCAGAUUAUGUUUUUAUGAAAGAAGUGAAUAGAAAGUAGGAAGGCUUAUUCACAUAAGAAAUACAGAACUUAUUGAUGAGCAGUAUAAGCACCUAUAGAGACAACAAUAGGAUUUAGAACACUUAUCUUGCUAUAGGAAGAACGACGGCUUUCCCGUUCAGUUGAAACUGAGACGACGAUGACAACGGUGAAGGCGACACCCUUCGUCGGGAACAGCGACAGCAACGCUGGACGGAACUGGCGGAAGCUGAACGACGCCGGACCUAAGCUCGGCGGCAGCCGACGCAGGUUGGAGCAUAGAAGGCGACUGAAGCUCGACUGAUGUUGAGAGAGGCCGACUGAUUCUACGGAUUCCGAACGAAGGAGCAGCAGCGACCGACGACGGCGCUCUCCCAGACGACGACCGCUGACCACCGGACGAGCAGCAGCAGUCGGCGGCGACUCCAGGCGUAGCAGCAGCCGCUCCAGACGGCGGCGAUGGCUCCAGACAAGGGCGUGACAGCAGCCGACGUUCGCCGGAUCCCAGUUCUUCAACGGCGGCAGCGAUUUAUGAUGGGAGAAAUUAGGGCUCUUGUUGGUGUGAUUUCUGAGGGAUUCACUCGAGAGGUGAAGGCGUAAGAGAGAAGCAGACAGGGUUGCGCCGACCGAUUGUGCGGCGACCUCGCCAGAUUUGCAGAAGCAGCAGACGCGGCGGCGAAAUUGCGACCUCGCCAGAUUUGCAGAAGCAGCAGACGCGGCGGCGAAAUUUUGAAAGAUGAAGAAGAGGACUCUCGGCCUUGAAUUCUGUAAAAAAAAAACGUUUGAGAGUUGAGAGAGAAAGAGAGCCGAGAGCUUGAGAAGAGAGAGGGAUUGGGCUAUGUUGGGCUUACCCCUAUUUUAAUUAAUUGGGCUAAAUUGUGAGCUUGUUUAUUUUAAAUAAAUUGGGCUUUCCCUUUUAAUUUAUGUGGGCUACAGAUUUUAAGUGUUUUGGGCCUGAUUUAUUUAAAGAGUUGGGCUGAUGCUUAUUUUAU